Molecule: long non-coding RNA, 3807 nt
Organism: Chelonia mydas (Green sea turtle)
Lineage: Eukaryota; Metazoa; Chordata; Testudines; Cheloniidae
Exons: 2
Source: RefSeq, a predicted model, not a curated record
ACAUGGCGCCGCCCAGGCCGGCUGGCCGCCGGCCCAGAUAUCGCGAGACCUGACGAGAAAAGGGCUGGCGCCGGCGGAUAAUUAAACAUGUGAGGGGUGGGUCAGGGGCUGGCCGGGCUCGCGCGCGAUUGGCGGCGGGCGGCGCAGCGAGAUUACAGCGUUGGGCCGAGAACGGUGGAGACGCGCCCUGCCCGCGCGGCGUGACAGUAGCUGCAGGGGGCGGGGCGGGGCGAGGCGGGGUGAGGCCCGCCGGGGGAUGCUGCAGCCCGCUCGGAACAAGUCACGCGAGAGCGAAGCCGCUGUCAGGCCUGGCUCAGCAGAAGUUGGGGCUCCCGCGUUGAGCCGGCCCUGCAGAGCCCGGGGGACGUGCCGGGUUUUCCCCAUUUCGCGCUGGCGGGGAAGGGUCGCCAGCUCUGUUCCCCUAGGUGCGAGCCGCAGCCCCGCUGCCGGCCCACGCUUGCGGAGCUGGGGUGAUAAGGGUUGGGAUGGUGACCCAUGGAACGGGAGGGGUCUGGUUUGCAUAGGGGCCAGGACGAGACUCCGGACCUAGGCUGGUGUAACUACCUCACUCAGGGGUGUGAAAAGCCCGCCCCUCUGGGGGACACCGUUAUACCGGCCACUCACCGCGUGUGGAGAGCGCUACGUCAAUGGCAGGGCUUCUGCUGCUGAUCCCGCCCCCACCUCUGGUGGAUUAACUCCACUGGCGGAGGAGAUCUCCCGUCGCCGUACCAGCGUCUUCACUAAAGCACUUCAGCGGGGCAGCUGUAGCAAUGUGGAGGGAGACAAGCCCACUGUUUAUAAGGUGAACGCACCUACGUUGACGAGGGCCAUCACUUGCUGCUGCACGCAGCACCUUCUGGCCCUGGUGUGUGGAUCUGGAAAGGAGCUCUUUGCAGGCCGACUUGCUGUUGAUGCAAAUUUUGAGCUUGCUUUUAAUUAAGUCUAUCCUGCAUCUAUUCCAUUUGUUGGACCAUUUAUACCUCAUUAGAGGAAGAAAUCCUCUCUACAACUGUGUUUUAGCCUGGUGUGCUAAGUGCAGAUGGCACAAUUUAGAACAAGUUUUUCAGAUUUUUUUCCCCACACUUUUAAGUUUUCACUUGCAGAUUUGGAAAUGUCAUUUUCUGAUCUUUCAGUCGCAUCUUGAUUGUUGCAGAAUUCCUUGUAGAGCUGAUCCAUGUUAAUCAUUUCCUUCGUUCUGAGUGCUUCUGUUACAACUCAAGGUUUGACAAACAAAGCUUCUAAUAGAGGCCAAUACCUUCAUCAUUCUGAUGUUAGAAGAGACCCUGAACCAAUUAUCAAUGUACAAAUGCAAAGUCAUAAAACUUAACGAAGUCUUGCUUUACCUUCACUUUUUGUUGUGGUAGUAGUUUUUCCAUCAGUUGUUUGGCUUUGAAUAAAAAAACAAAAACAAAAAAAACAGUCUUCUUUAGGUUCGGCAUCUUCAUCUUAACAUGGCACAUCUAUAUACACAUCAGUAAUGCAUAGACUGGAUUCCUUCAACUGAGUUGAAGACACAAGCCAAAUUGUGAAAAAACCAUAUGUAAAUGUCCAUAAUGCAGGAAUACUCACCAUCGUUGGUGAACAUUUUCUUUUAAGCUAGUGGGCAAGACUCCCCUAGUGACUUGAUGUUGGCUUCAGUUGCUUGCCAGUUUCUCAAAAGUCAGUUGACUGCUGGGUUAAGGGAUAGCCAACUUCUAUUCACAUAUCACUGUACUUCUUUCCAUUCAAUUUCAACAAAGAAAAAAAACUGAAUUCUUUGAGCUUUGUGGGGACAGAAAAAUGGUUGUAAAUUUUCGAUAAAAUCAUUUUUGUUUCAACUGAUAGCCAAUCACUCACAUUUGCAAGUAUUGUGGGCUGUGUGUAUGGGGAAGUUCAUCUCAGAAUGCAAUCAUUUUCAGCACAUAACAACUGGUACACCAAGUUGUGUUUACCAUAGUUCAUAUUUGCAUUAUCAUCAGAGUAUGCAGUAACACAAUUAAUGUUUAUCUGGUGUUUAUCUAGGCUGGUCUUUAUAACACAAGGAAUGCCUCUUGCAGAUUCAUCAUAGUCUUCAUAAAAAUUGAGCAACUUGACUGAACACCAUGUGAUAUGGCCCAGGACUGUCUGAAGUUCCCACUAAUAUUGCAAGGCAGCCAAGCUGCUGCAUCUGGUCCCACUGGACCUUUCUUCUUGUGGGUGGCUCCUCCCAUAGAUACAGAGCUGCAGGAACUGAGCCUGGACGUGACAAGUUGGAACGCUCACCGCACUGUCCUGGCCAGAUUCCAAUGUGGAGAAUUACAUUCGGGGUCCCUAAAUCUGCUCCUUCCUCCCCUCUGCUGGAGUUGCUAUUGCAUAAUUAGCUUCCCGUUCACAUCCCGUCCUAAAUCACUAUAUGGUAUUCUAGCUGAACGGCUGACAUGUUCCACCCCAGAGCAGAUGCAGUUUGAAGGUGAACAAAAUCCUUCCUGAGACAAACCCCAAUGCCCGCUUUUCAGGAGAAACUUCCACUGAGGCCGAUGAGAGUUUUCACUGAGUGGCGGUUAUAGAAUGGUACUGAAACCAAGGUCGGAAAAGACCUUGAAAUCCUCCAGAAUGGCAGGCACAGGGCAUAUGUGGAGCUUAGGAAAGGGACUCUCCUCUACCCUUCCCAGCUGAAGAGCUGCUGGAGCCACUCAAAUUUGGCUGUCCACUCUCGGUCCAUCUACAAAUGGUGUUGUAACUUAGUGCACGGGUUGAAAUAUGGGAUAAAAGGAGUCCUGUACUGAUUUAGUAUUGGGCAGCCAAUUUUUCAUUAAAAUUACAGAUGGCCCUUACAACACAGGUCUGUUGGGAACCCAACCCUGGGAGAGGCAGGGAAGCAGGUGCUGCCCCCAAGGGUGGGAGGCCAUGGGACAGGGUUGUUGCAGAGCAAGCUGGGACUGAGAGGUGGCUGGGCCAAACCUGAGCAGUGCUGCCACCCCAUGCGCCAAGUCACAAUUCUCGGAAUGGGAAGCCAGGCCCAGUCCCACAGCACAGGAGCUGCAGAAACUGCUGCUGUAGGAUGAGUUUUAAGUCAUUUUAUACAAUCUCUUAUUUAGUGUUAUUUUGCAUUUGUGGAAAACAUUGGGGGCUCUAGCUGCAGUAAUAAUAUUUGUCCUCCUACUUAUGUUGUGUGCUGAAUGGGGCCAAAGCGUUUGCAUAGGCAAAGAGUCAUCAUGAGGUUCUUGCUAUUGCAGGGUGCGUGGUGGCCACCUAGGCCCAAAGACAUAAAGAACAAUUGUGUGAGAAAUACAGGAUACGGUUUAAUUUCUAAACGGCAUCAGCCCACGCUGUUUUAUUCUUGAUAUAGAUCCAUACAUAGCACUUGUUUGUCAGACUGUGAGCCCUAUGGGGUAGGAACUGAUCCUUUUGGCUUCUCUGGCAUGUGCCUCACACUUUCUGCCACUGGGGUUUAGGUUCCUGUUAAAACCGAGGCAAGUUAAUUAGUCCCACAGUGAAUCAGCAGCAAAGCCAGGAUUAGGUAUUAAGAGUUCAUGCCUUGCUCAGGCACUUAGCCAAAGGGUUUUGACAUGUUCACACUGUGUGGACCACAUCUUAAAAGGAAAGUUUGUCUUGUUGAUCCACGUCCUCUUCUAUGCAAGAGCGCACAGACCACUUCCUUUCCUAUUCAUGUGGCAACUACAGCAAUUGAUUACAUGGAAAAGUAAUAUUAGGAAAGCAUUGAAUAUAUAUUUUAGCUUCUUUUAAUGUGAUUUAGCAGCUGGAAACAAGGAAAGCUGGUAUUGUGUCAUCAGCCAGUUCUUUUCAAACAGCUGUUUAAGAACUAGUGCAUUAAACAAUGGUCUGAAA